Molecule: ribosomal RNA, 439 nt
Filed under: uncultured bacterium
Lineage: Bacteria
Description: partial 16S ribosomal RNA
Rfam family: Bacterial small subunit ribosomal RNA
Source: RNAcentral
CCUACGGGUGGCAGCAGUGGGGAAUAUUGCACAAUGGGGGAAACCCUGAUGCAGCGACGCCGCGUGAAGGAAGAAGUAUUUCGGUAUGUAAACUUCUAUCAGCAGGGAAGAAAAUGACGGUACCUGACCAAGAAGCCCCGGCUAACUACGGGCCAGCAGCCGCGGUAAUACGUAGGGGGCAAGCGUUAUCCGGAGUUACUGGGUGAAAAGGGAGCGUAGGCGGUUUAGCAGGUCAGAAGGGAAAGCCCGGGGCUCAACUCCGGGACGGCUUUUGAAACGGUUGAACUAGAUGGCAGGAGAGUUAGUGGAAUUCCUAGUGUAGCGGUGAAAUGCGUAGAUAUUAGGAGGAACACCAGUGGCGAAGGCGGCUUACUGGACUGUAAAUGACGCUGAGGCUCGAAAGCGUGGGGAGCAAACAGGAUUAGAUACCCGAGUAGUC